RNAcentral lists this ribosomal RNA (863 nucleotides) under uncultured bacterium. Its description in RNAcentral is "bacterial SSU rRNA". It matches the Rfam family "Bacterial small subunit ribosomal RNA", at positions 1 to 853 of the family's 1533-position model. The record is from RNAcentral.
UCGCCCUUAGAGUUUGAUCCUGGCUCAGGAUGAACGCUAGCUACAGGCUUAACACAUGCAAGUCGAGGGGAAACGAUAUUGGAAGCUUGCUUCCGAUAGGCGUCGACCGGCGCACGGGUGAGUAACGCGUAUCCAACCUGCCCACCACUUGGGGAUAACCUUGCGAAAGUAAGACUAAUACCCAAUGAUAUCUCAAGAAGACAUCUGAAUGAGAUUAAAGAUUUAUCGGUGAUGGAUGGGGAUGCGUCUGAUUAGCUUGUUGGCGGGGUAACGGCCCACCAAGGCGACGAUCAGUAGGGGUUCUGAGAGGAAGGUCCCCCACAUUGGAACUGAGACACGGUCCAAACUCCUACGGGAGGCAGCAGUGAGGAAUAUUGGUCAAUGGGCGAGAGCCUGAACCAGCCAAGUAGCGUGCAGGAUGACGGCCCUAUGGGUUGUAAACUGCUUUUAUAAGGGAAUAAAGUGAGUCUCGUGAGGCUUUUUGCAUGUACCUUAUGAAUAAGGACCGGCUAAUUCCGUGCCAGCAGCCGCGGUAAUACGGAAGGUCCGGGCGUUAUCCGGAUUUAUUGGGUUUAAAGGGAGCGUAGGCCGGAGAUUAAGCGUGUUGUGAAAUGUAGAUGCUCAACAUCUGCACUGCAGCGCGAACUGGUUUCCUUGAGUACGCACAAAGUGGGCGGAAUUCGUGGUGUAGCGGUGAAAUGCUUAGAUAUCACGAAGAACUCCGAUUGCGAAGGCAGCUCACUGGAGCGCAACUGACGCUGAAGCUCGAAAGUGCGGGUAUCGAACAGGAUUAGAUACCCUGGUAGUCCGCACGGUAAACGAUGGAUGCCCGCUGUUGGUCUGAAUAGGUCAGCGGCCAAGCG